UCCCAUAAACCGUGGCUCAGUUCAGAUCGUAGGCUGCAACUCGCCUACGUGAAGGCGGAAUCGCUAGUAAUCGCAGGUCAGCAUACUGCGGUGAAUACGUUCCCGGGCCUUGUACACACCGCCCGUCACACCAUGGAAGUUGGCCACGCCCGAAGCCGUUACUCCAACCCUUGUGGAGGAGGACGUUGAAGGUGGGGCUGAUGACUGGGGUGAAGUCGUAACAAGGUAUCCGUACCGGAAGGUGCGGAUGGAUCACCUCCUAACAGGGAGACAACACAAUGAUUUUGAUGCCUGAGUGCUUUUAUCCUUAGGCCGAAAUCCUGUCACCUUAGGUCGAUCGGUACCUCAGCUUUGAAGUCAAGAAUGAGCAGCAAUGUUGAUUGCUUGAUGGAGAUUUUCAGUUCCUAAACUUUGUCUAGGUCACACCCCAAAAGGGAUGAGACUCCUGGGCCAUUAGCUCAGGUGGUUAGAGCGCACCCCUGAUAAGGGUGAGGUCCCUGGUUCAAGUCCAGGAUGGCCCAUUCGGUGUUGGGGGUUUAGCUCAGUUGGUAGAGCGCCUGCUUUGCAAGCAGGAUGUCAGGAGUUCGAGUCUCCUAACCUCCACUGACCGAACUUUUUCCCCAUCUCCAAAUCGUUGGAGUUGAGCUCGAUUGGCGUGUGAUUUAGAUGUGUCCGCUGGAUGACCCCAGCUUCCUGUCAUUCCAAGUUUUAAGUUGAAAGCUUUGAAUUUGGUUGAUAAGAUGCUGGGCU
This 750-nucleotide unclassified non-coding RNA is filed under the name uncultured Synechococcus sp. RNAcentral's name for it is "partial contains 16S ribosomal RNA and 16S-23S ribosomal RNA intergenic spacer". The stretch from base 1 to 263 matches the Rfam family "Bacterial small subunit ribosomal RNA", at positions 1272 to 1533 of the family's 1533-position model. The record is from RNAcentral. Lineage: Bacteria; Bacillati; Cyanobacteriota; Cyanophyceae; Synechococcales; Synechococcaceae.